AUACGAAGGGGGCUAGCGUUGUUCGGAAUCACUGGGCGUAAAGCGCACGUAGGCGGAUAUUUAAGUCAGGGGUGAAAUCCCGCAGCUCAACUGCGGAACUGCCUUUGAUACUGGGUAUCUCGAGUAUGGAAGAGGUGAGUGGAAUUCCGAGUGUAGAGGUGAAAUUCGUAGAUAUUCGGAGGAACACCAGUGGCGAAGGCGGCUCACUGGUCCAUUACCGACGCUGAGGUGACG
RNAcentral lists this ribosomal RNA (234 nucleotides) under uncultured bacterium. RNAcentral describes it as "partial 16S ribosomal RNA". It matches the Rfam family "Bacterial small subunit ribosomal RNA", at positions 523 to 755 of the family's 1533-position model. The record is from RNAcentral.